Molecule: non-coding RNA, 30 nt
Filed under: Mus musculus (house mouse)
Lineage: Eukaryota; Metazoa; Chordata; Mammalia; Rodentia; Muridae
Source: RNAcentral
UCNGGAAAUCUCAGCUCCUUCAGUAUUGGC